UGCAAGUCGAACGGUAACAGGCCGCAAGGUGCUGACGAGUGGCGAACGGGUGAGUAAUGCAUCGGAACGUGCCCAGUCGUGGGGGAUAACGCAGCGAAAGCCGCGCUAAUACCGCAUACGAUCUAUGGAUGAAAGCGGGGGACCGUAAGGCCUCGCGCGAUUGGAGCGGCCGAUGUCAGAUUAGGUAGUUGGUGGGGUAAAGGCUCACCAAGCCAACGAUCUGUAGCUGGUCUGAGAGGACGACCAGCCACACUGGAACUGAGACACGGUCCAGACUCCUACGGGAGGCAGCAGUGGGGAAUUUUGGACAAUGGGCGCAAGCCUGAUCCAGCAAUGCCGCGUGCAGGAAGAAGGCCUUCGGGUUGUAAACUGCUUUUGUACGGAACGAAACGGUCUGAGUUAAUACCUCGGGCUAAUGACGGUACCGUAAGAAUAAGCACCGGCUAACUACGUGCCAGCAGCCGCGGUAAUACGUAGGGUGCAAGCGUUAAUCGGAAUUACUGGGCGUAAAGCGUGCGCAGGCGGUGAUGUAAGACAGUCGUGAAAUCCCCGGGCUCAACCUGGGAAUUGCGAUUGUGACUGCAUCGCUGGAGUGCGGCAGAGGGGGAUGGAAUUCCGCGUGUAGCAGUGAAAUGCGUAGAUAUGCGGAGGAACACCGAUGGCGAAGGCAAUCCCCUGGGCCUGCACUGACGCUCAUGCACGAAAGCGUGGGGAGCAAACAGGAUUAGAUACCCUGGUAGUCCACGCCCUAAACGAUGUCAACUGGUUGUUGGGUCUCUUCUGACUCAGUAACGAAGCUAACGCGUGAAGUUGACCGCCUGGGGAGUA
RNAcentral lists this ribosomal RNA (828 nucleotides) under uncultured Comamonadaceae bacterium. RNAcentral's name for it is "bacterial SSU rRNA". It matches the Rfam family "Bacterial small subunit ribosomal RNA", at positions 56 to 882 of the family's 1533-position model. The record is from RNAcentral. Lineage: Bacteria; Pseudomonadati; Pseudomonadota; Betaproteobacteria; Burkholderiales; Comamonadaceae.